AAAUAAUUACAAACAAGUGAAUUACCAAUGCGAGUUCUAUUCAUUUAUUCAUCGAUAUCCUUAGAUAUUAAUGUCAUAGAACCACAUGACUAACGUUUACUUUUCGGGCUACUAAAUUAAUUUGGAUUAAAUUAAAAAUUAAAAUAUGGCAUGUACAUACAUAUAGUUCCAAGAUGUCCGGACAGAUGUCGGAAACACGUUUACGGGUCACCUUAUCGCGUGGGUGUGGCAGGCGGAAAAUCAAAUACCGCAUCGGGGGCAGGUGAAAUACGAAUGUUUUAAAUGCCACGCAACUGUGAGCCCAUUGAAAGCACAAGUACUAUGACCAUAGGAAUACCAGUUUUAUAGUAUGUACCAGUACGAGUAGUAUGCGGUUCGCAACGCGCCAGCAAGUUGGCAAGUGCUCUAAAGAAACCGCAGCGAAAUUGAAAAUGAGCGCAGAGAAAUAAGUUUGGAAUACGUGAUGGAGGUACAAAAACUUUAUAUAUUCCCCAUCUAGGAUCAGUUAAACAACACGGAUUAGUAAUAAAAUUAAGAAAUAUAUUAAUCAACGACUCAAUU
Long non-coding RNA from Drosophila eugracilis, 561 nucleotides. RefSeq lists it as uncharacterized. NCBI's taxonomy places the organism in Eukaryota, Metazoa, Arthropoda, Insecta, Diptera, Drosophilidae. The transcript is spliced from 3 exons. The record is from RefSeq and is a predicted model, not a curated record.